GCCCUGACUGUAUGGAGGGUGUACUCUCUCGUUAUCGAGAGGGCCGAAGAAUGUAACUUCAGUAAUUAAACAAACAC
This 77-nucleotide non-coding RNA is filed under the name unclassified sequences. The record is from Rfam.